UGGGGGAUAUUGCACAAUGAGCGAAAGCCUGAUGCAGCGACGCCGCGUGGGGGAUGAAGGCCUUCGGGUUGUAAACUUCUUUUGCUCUGAACAAGGCAUGCUAAUGGGUGUGUUGAGUGUAGGGGUUGAUUAGCGCCGGCUAACUACGUGCCAGCAGCCGCGGUAAUACGUAGGGCGCGAGCGUUGUCCGGAAUUAUUGGGCGUAAAGGGCUUGUAGGUGGCUGGUUGCGUCUGUCGUGAAAGCUCAUGGCUUAACUGUGGGUUUGCGGUGGGUACGGGCUGGCUUGAGUGCAGUAGGGGAGGCUGGAAUUCCUGGUGUAGCGGUGGAAUGCGCAGAUAUCAGGAGGAAUACCGGUGGCGAAGGCGGGUCUCUGGGCUGUUACUGACACUGAGGAGCGAAAGCAUGGGGAGCGAACAGG
RNAcentral lists this ribosomal RNA (419 nucleotides) under bacterium. RNAcentral's name for it is "partial 16S ribosomal RNA". It matches the Rfam family "Bacterial small subunit ribosomal RNA", at positions 355 to 776 of the family's 1533-position model. The record is from RNAcentral.